GCAUAUCAAUAAGCGGAGGAAAAGAAACCAACAGGGAUUGCCUCAGUAACGGCGAGUGAAGCGGCAAAAGCUCAAAUUUGAAAUCUAGCACCUUCGGUGUUCGAGUUGUAAUUUGAAGAUGGUAACCUUGGGUUUGGCUCUUGUCUAUGUUCCUUGGAACAGGACGUCAUAGAGGGUGAGAAUCCCGUCUGAUGAGAUGCCCAUUCCUAUGUAAGGUGCUAUCGAAGAGUCGAGUUGUUUGGGAAUGCAGCUCUAAGUGGGUGGUAAAUUCCAUCUAAAGCUAAAUAUUGGCGAGAGACCGAUAGCGAACAAGUACAGUGAUGGAAAGAUGAAAAGAACUUUGAAAAGAGAGUGAAAAAGUACGUGAAAUUGUUGAAAGGGAAGGGCAUUAGAUCAGACUUGGUGUUUUACGAUUAUCUUCUCUUCUUGAGUUGUGCACUCGUAUUUCACUGGGCCAGCAUCGAUUCGGAUGGCAAGAUAAUGGCAGUUGAAUGUGGCUUCACUUCGGUGGAGUGUUAUAGCUUCUGCUGAUAUUGCCUGUCUGGAUCGAGGGCUGCGUCUUUUGACUAGGAUGCUGGCGUAAUGAUCUAAUGCCGCCCGUCUUGAAACACGGACCAAGGAGUCUAACGUCUAUGCGAGUGUUUGGGUGUAAAACCCGUACGCGUAAUGAAAGUGAACGUAGGUGAGAGCUCUUUUUUGAGUGCAUCAUCGACCGAUCCUGAUGUUUUCGGAUGGAUUUGAGUAAGAGCAUAGCUGUUGGGACCCGAAAGAUGGUGAACUAUGCCUGAAUAGGGUGAAGCCAGAGGAAACUCUGGUGGAGGCUCGUAGCGGUUCUGACGUGCAAAUCGAUCGUCGAAUUUGGGAAUAGGGGCGAAAGACUAAUCGAACCAUCUAGUAGCUGGUUCCUGCCG
This 911-nucleotide ribosomal RNA is filed under the name Hansenula anomala. RNAcentral's name for it is "LSU rRNA". It matches the Rfam family "Eukaryotic large subunit ribosomal RNA", at positions 38 to 963 of the family's 3401-position model. Lineage: Eukaryota; Fungi; Ascomycota; Saccharomycetes; Phaffomycetales; Wickerhamomycetaceae. The record is from RNAcentral.